RNAcentral lists this long non-coding RNA (199 nucleotides) under Elaeis guineensis (African oil palm). RNAcentral describes it as "long non-coding RNA (EGUI_LNC082028)". The record is from RNAcentral. Lineage: Eukaryota; Viridiplantae; Streptophyta; Magnoliopsida; Arecales; Arecaceae.
AUCACAUGGGAGUCAUGACUUUUCAUGCCAGAGAUAUUAUCAUCGUUGUUCCCAAUACAUUACGAUACAUUUGAAGCGUAUGCAUCAGAAAACUUUACGGUUUUAAACCAUCCACAGAAAUUCUUCUUUUCCUCACUAAACAGCGAAUAAAUGUAGGUGGCAUAAAAAAUCUAUCACCUCGAUGAAUUAAAUACAACUC